AGCUUAGCAUGCAAGUCUCAGUACGAGCUGACCUAAAGUGAAACCGCAAAAGGCUCAGUAAACCGGUCAUAGUUUACCGGAUAUAUGCCACUUACGUGGAUAACUGUGGUAAUUCUAGAGCUAAUACAUGCAAACAAGUCCCGACCAGCGAUGGAGAGGACGCUUUUAUUGGAUCAAAACCAUUCGCCCGGCUUGUCCGGGCGUCGGCUUGAUGACUCUAGAUAACACCACAGAUCGCACGGUCACAGUACCGGUGACAUAUCCUUCAAAUGUCUGACUUAUCAGCUGUCGAUGGUAGACUCUGUGUCUACCAUGGCGCUCACGGGUGACGGGGAAUCAGGGUUCGAUUCCGGAGAGGGAGCCUGAGAAACGGCUACCACAUCCAAGGAAGGCAGCAGGCACGCAAAUUACCCACUCCCGGCACGGGGAGGUAGUGACAAAAAAUAACGAUACGGGACUCAUCCGAGGCCCCGUAAUCGGAAUGAGAACACCCUAAAUCCUUUAACGAGGAUCUAUUGGAGGGCAAGUCUGGUGCCAGCAGCCGCGGUAAUUCCGGCUCCAAUAGCGUAUAUUAAAGUUGUUGCGGUUAAAAAGCUCGUAGUUGGUUCUGCGUGCCACGCUGUCGGUUCACCGCCUGCCGGUGCAACUGGCAUGCCGUGGCAUGUCCUGUCGGUGGCGGAUAGGCUUCUCGGCGCGCCCUAUGCGGUACACACCGUGUAGGCUGCUGCGCCGCGUCGUCCUUGUACGCCGGCUCAAUCCUACCGCGGUGCUCUUUACCGAGUGUCGAGGUAGGCCGACACUGUUUACUUUGAACAAAUUAGAGUGCUUAAAGCAGGCUCUUAAAUCAGCCUGAAUAGUGGUGCAUGGAAUAAUGGAACAGGACCUUGGUUCUAUUUUGUUGGUUUUUGGAAUCCAAGGUAAUGAUCAAUAAAGGACAGGCGGGGGCAUUCGUAUUGCGACGUUAGAGGUGAAAUUCUUGGAUCGUCGCAAGACGCACUAGAGCGAAAGCAUUUGCAAGUAUGUCUUAUUGAUCAGAACGAAAGUUAGAGGUU
RNAcentral lists this ribosomal RNA (1052 nucleotides) under Molipteryx fuliginosa. Its description in RNAcentral is "SSU rRNA". It matches the Rfam family "Eukaryotic small subunit ribosomal RNA", at positions 41 to 998 of the family's 1831-position model. Lineage: Eukaryota; Metazoa; Arthropoda; Insecta; Hemiptera; Coreidae. The record is from RNAcentral.